RNAcentral lists this transfer RNA (47 nucleotides) under Allium spicatum. RNAcentral's name for it is "partial tRNA-Leu". The record is from RNAcentral. Lineage: Eukaryota; Viridiplantae; Streptophyta; Magnoliopsida; Asparagales; Amaryllidaceae.
GAUAUUGAAUUUUCUUUGAACCACUAAAAAAAAAAGGAGAAUAUAGU